Molecule: long non-coding RNA, 367 nt
Filed under: Elaeis guineensis (African oil palm)
Lineage: Eukaryota; Viridiplantae; Streptophyta; Magnoliopsida; Arecales; Arecaceae
Description: long non-coding RNA (EGUI_LNC052249)
Source: RNAcentral
GAAUAUCCAACUAUUGAACUUCUAUCCAUGGACAUUGCAACUAGAAGAUGGGAAAGAAAUGAGAGAAAUAGGGUUACAAAAAUGGAUGAAUACACGGAACCAAGACCCAUACAACCCUAGGAAUGCAUAUCUAUAAGCAAUGGGAAAGAAAUAUGCUGAAUAGAAUGGGAAAACAAAGAAAUCUCGAUCGAUGAAGAAGAAGGGGAUUCAUGCCAGAAAUCUUCCCUCUUGUUCGAAGUGGAAAAGGACACAGUUACGGCUUAUAGGAGAAGGGAUUGUUAAAGAUUCUGAUCAAGUUAUUAUCAUGUUCUAAAAUUAUUUUCAGCCAUAUUGGUAUCGGUCGAGCUUGAUUAUCUAUGUCUGCACC